Long non-coding RNA from Strigops habroptila (Kakapo), 4395 nucleotides. RefSeq lists it as uncharacterized. NCBI's taxonomy places the organism in Eukaryota, Metazoa, Chordata, Aves, Psittaciformes, Psittacidae. The transcript is spliced from 2 exons. The record is from RefSeq and is a predicted model, not a curated record.
AGAAGAAGUGUUGAUUUCUCUCCUGGGAGAGAGUAAGGGUAAAGUUGAAGUUUGUGUUUGUUGCUGUUGCACCAGAAAUGAAACCUAGCACUUUCCCCAGGGGCCCCUGGCUGCGGGGUCCCAGCUUAGAGUCUGAACUAGGAGAAUGUGUUGGCUCAGAUCAGCUUCUAGAAGAUGAAUAACAAAGCAACUAGACUUCUGUUUAUUGUAAAGCAGGUUUUCACUCUCUGUGUUGGCUUCCCCCCUGCACGCACCUCGUAGGCAUCGCAGGCUGCUGCUUAAAUUAGCCUCCAUUUUCUACUGCAGAGCAGAUUCCUUUUCUUGUGCAAUGAGAUCCUCCUUCCUUUAUCUCUCUUAUGGCCCUUGUUCCUCUGUCCCCCUGACAAGUCGAAGACCUUUCAAAUUACCUACUCAUAAGCAGCUGCGUACAAGGUUUUGAAGCUGUGCAGUGAGGGCUUUAGUUACACGUGAACUUCUGCCGUGAGUUUUGAAAUGCUCCUUUAUCCCCAUAUGCACUUUCUUUCCCAUAAUGCUUUUGCCCAUAUCACCGAGCUCCUUUUGUAUUCUUGGAGUUGUGUAUUCCUCUUCAUGUUUUACUUAGAUCGUGGGGUGGGGUAGGAUGGGGAGGGGAACAAGUAUUAUCUCAUAGUCUUCAGGUUGGGGAUGUGGGGACCAUUCAGAGGGGAGUAGUUCUGCAUCCAGAGUAAUGAUUAAAAACGGGAGGAUUUAAGAUAAGGUAAUAAUUUGUGCCUCGUCCCCCUGCCAAAAAUGUCAAUUUCCUGGCCCUGUUGAGAUGAGCAAUAGGAAAUGGAGCAAGACUCCCCAUAAGUAGCGUAGAGGCUGCGACGCGUACCCGCGGAGCUGUGGUACCCAUGAAACAAAAGAGCAGGGAGAUGGUGGCAGUGUAACAUAAGAUGAUGCUUUUCUAAGCUAGAGCUUUACUGAAGAUGUAUUUUCCAUUUGGGCAGUGCAAGGCAUUUGCUGCCUUAUAGCAGAACUCUUAAGCCAACACUUCUGUAUGAUAUAUACAUACAUAGGCAUAGGAAAAGUUGUGUUUAAUAAGAUAUUUUGUUAUAAAACAAAGUUUUAUGAAGAUAUGGUUGUUUAAUAUUAGAAGCCUAUUUCUCCCCUUGACCUCCAGUUUAAGUAAGUUAUCUCUCAGCUGCUGCAGUGUCAGAGGUAAGCGAUGGGGAUGCAAAAGUGUCUCUGACCUAAUUCUAUAGAGCAGUCAUUACCUAUAUGGGUAUGUUUAUGGUAUUGUAACUGGUAUUAACGAGAUGCUGUAACUAUUGACCAACAUCCUCAGCACAAUUGAAUGUCUCGGUUUCAGAAAAGGAAGUAAACACCAUUAAAGAGUGGAAUGGGAUGUUAAAGAAGUUCCAAGUAUGUCCUUUUAAGUUUGUUCACCCACAGAAGUUUAGCCCGUCCAUGGAGGGAACAGUGCUGUCACUGUGCCAGCUCGGAACUGGUAGUACAUCGUGCUUUUAGUUAUGGUGGACCUGAUGGCAGCUGGAAGGUGGAAAAGAGAACACCUACUGGCAUACAAGGUGACAAGUGCCAUGGAGCUGGCAGGGAUUUGGUGCUAAGGCCCAAACCGGUUGCCCUGGUCUGUUCAGGUCAGUAAAAGUCACGGUGUGAAUACCACUGCCUUGUCACUUUGUCAGGGGAAGGUUGUUUCUGGAUGACGUUCUCAAGCCAUUCACAUUCUGUGUGGCCAGCAGAGCACUCGUGGGCUGGAAACCAAAUAUCUUGGGUUGCUUCCUGCAAAGAAAGAGUCAUGUCCAAAUCCAGGGACAGUUUAUGCGUCCAGAUGGGUGCCUUUGAAAAGUGGGGCCAAAUGGCAUGUAAGUGAUGUGGCAAAAUACCCCAAGUUUGAUCACUUUCCUUUAGUAAUAUCUUCAGGGAAAAGGUCUUGUAUGUGUGCCAUGUUACUGCUUAAGAGGGGACCGUGUCAUUGGGAGAGAGGGAGGCCUCUGAGUGAGAGAGGAGGUUUAGGGCUGAGGGUGGGUGCCAACAAUCUGGGACGGUCCUGAGCUGGCAGGAGGCUUGAUUUAAAUCAGUGCGAUGUCCUGAGGGGCUGUGACCUGGUGGUGUUGGCAUAUACCUGCUUUAGCAAAAGGUCCCUGGGUCUGUCCCGUUCCUUUGAGAACACACAAUAGAUUUGCAGGCUUCUCUAGCUUUUGUUUCCUUCUAUCCGAGGGCUACUUCUGUCAAGAACUGUUCUGUUGUUUGUGCUAGUUCAUGCAUAGCAGUGGGCAAAGCACCUGGUUCGGAAGGAAUUAGGUGACAGCUAUAUACCAAAGUGUCGCACGGCUCCUUGUGUCGAGAGUAGAUGCUGUGCUGUUGUGUUUUUGGAUACGUUCCUAUUGACUAUCCAUGUUUUGACCAGAUGUUUCAGGCGCGAUCGCUUAACUGGCGAUGUGAUGAAUAUGCAUGGCGCGACGACUGUCCUCUGCUUCCUCGGUGGGAUUUGUAACCCCCAUUACUGGGAGUUGCACACAUUCCGGUGGCAGAUAAUUGUGUGGCCCGUGGUGGCUCGGAGGAACUGAGCCGAAUGGUGCUCGUUGCUUCUGGGGAUAGGCUCUUGGUUUGCCCUCGCCUACUCGGGUCUGUAAUCUGACGAAGGCGACUUGGCGGCUCUGCCUCCGUCGGUUGCUGUUCUUGCUUGUAAAUGAGAUUCUGUAGGUUCUGUUCGUGUGUGGAGUUGAAAAUGCAAACGAGGUGCUGAAAGCAGCCCAGAGGCUGAAAUAUGUAUUCCUGGCAGCUGUGCCUCCCUCAUUUGAAUGUGGCACUUCUGUAGGUGGUAGAGAGACGCCUUCCCCAGAGCAGCGUUCGAAGGGCUUUAGCCAUCGCGGGCCUUUGCCUCUGUGAUUGCUUUUCUGCAGUUACUGGAAACUUCAGAUGUAAUUUAAACAUGAAGGUCUAUCCCUGCUCCCUAUUAAUGAUGCAUCCAUAUGUAAUUUUAAAGACAAAAGGAAGAACUGUAAGUCCAGCUCGUUUUUUAUUCUGGUUUCUCUCACAGGGGAUAUACUUCCUGCUCCCACAGUUUGCCUUUGGUUUGCUCGCAGACUUAGCAGUGGAAUUCAGGCCAAAUAGGGAAUUGGUUUGGAUCAGUUCAAUAAACUUAUGUAAGUUUUUACACAAAACCAAGUGUCCCAAGUUUUGCACUUCUGUGUUCCUUGAAGCAAAACCUUUCCUUCCCUCUCACCUGUAUGUUUAACACACACCUUUGGCAGGCUGAAAGCUGCUGACAUCUCUUUGUUCUGCUGACUGUUUGUGCCUCCUGUCUGCUCGGUGAGCUUGGGCAGAGCCACCUCAUUGUGCAACGUGUGCUUCUUGAAUGGAGAAGUCACGAUGUUGGAAGACCUAGUCCUCUUCUGGACUGUAUUCCUCCAUGGCAGUUGCUCAUCUUCACUCCAGGUGAUGAAGAAGGCUUGAGCUUGCUCUCUCUUACCUGCUCCAUGUCCUGGGUGGAACUGGCCUUAGGGUUAAAACAAGCUUCACCCUCAAGAAAAGGUUUAUGGGUGCUGAUGGGGAGGGCAGCAUGGCCCACUAAAGCAGGGGUCAUCAGCUAAGCCCAUGCUGGCCUGCACCAGCAGACCCUGGGGAUUCUGGAUGGGAUGCAGUCUUCCCUGGAUUGGGCCGUGUCCCUCGGAAUGGGAAUGCAACAAGGCUCUUCCUGCAGUUGUUCUGCCAAGGUCAAGCAGCCAGAGAUCCCCUUAUCUUUUAAUGCUGAGUUUUCCUUGAGGUUGGGCAGAGGAAGGAGGUUUUCUGGUAAAAGGAUGAAAUAAGAGAGAAAGCAGUUGUUUGCUCAGCUCUGAUGCUCAGCACUGCGUGAUGGGAGCAUCCCCUGCCAAAAUGAAAUAGCCUAGAAGACAAAGUCUUCCCCAAAGAGACAGUGAAACCUAAUCAAAAUUCAUCAGUGUAGACUUGCCCAGGAUGAACAGGACCAGAAUAUUAAGUUGCCAAAGGAGCAGAGGGAAACCUAUUUUCACUGGUUUUCUCUGUGUUACAAAACAGGCUGAGAAGAGUCAAUUGAUUUUUGUGUGGCUGGUAACAUUUACAUUUUGUAUGGGAUGGAAAGGAAGAACCAGGGUAUGUGGAAUGGCAGGCUGGAAGUAAUCUGCCCCUGAAAUACUAGUCAAUGCUUUACAAUGCCCCGGCCCUCCUAAAGGAGUUGUUGGUUGAGAAAUGGGGGAAAAUACAUUAAAAAAGGAAGCUUCCUACUAGCAAGGCCAUGCUGGAGUGUACAGAGCAAGCAAGCUCCGGGAUGUGCUGUGGAGGCGGUGCGCUGCCUGGUGCCCUGGUGUACUAAAAGAAACUGCUGAGGCUGCAUGGGUGAAAAUGGUAAUAACACUUGCAGCAGCCCCCCAGUGAAGCUUCUCACUGGCUCGA